GCGGGCGCCAGCGGGCCCGGUGCGGGGUUUCGUGGUGCCCGUCUGCCGCAGCUGUUCGGCUUGGCGAUGAGCGCGGGAAUAGAAGCAGCGAAGUUAAAUGUCGAAGUCCUGAGGUGGCUGGAUAGCCCAAUUUUAUGUCUGUAAAUAUUUUAAUGAGUAAAGGUGUUAACUGUCCAACGCUUUGCUUGUGAAUGAGCCAAAAACCUGUCGGGAUCGUCCCCCCCUGCACGUGCUCUGUGCACUGACUUUGCUCACUAUGAGCCAGAGUGGCCUCUUAACAGAGGGGAAAAAUGUGGAGAAAAUGGGAAUUUCCCAUCAAGCCAGCUUCAAUGGACGCUUUCUGUGGACGAUCCAUUGUUAACUACAAAGCUGAGAGCAGCACAGUUGCAUCUUACAGAGAUGAACUGGCCUUUCCUCGUUGAUUUGCAUCUUUAAACUCGAGAAGGUGCUUAGAGUUGAGAGCGGGUGACGCGGCAUUGGCCUGGGGAGCGCCCUGGGGAUGCUGUGCCCACAGAAGACAAGCCCACGUGGGCAUGCUGGGACACCAAGCUCCAGAACACGGCACCUGAAAGCUUGGAGUGAUUGCACACGGCUGAACAGCUCUCCAUCACUUCUGACAUCCUGGCUCAGGACAAAGGUCAGAAGCCGUCGGCACAGCGGUAGCUGUGACUCGCCAUAUAAGACGAGGAGUGUUCUGAGCCAGCAGAGAUGGAAGUGGGAGCCUUUACCACGCUGAGGACAGAGCCGGCCGUGAUGGCAGAGCGGCACAGCCCAUGAGCACACGACUCGGGAGAGCAGCUCCCAUGGAAUCCCCUUCUGCAUCUAGAGGUGAUCAGAGACAGCGAGCUGAGGUGACUGACAUGUUAGAUCUUAGAGCUCACAUGGAAAGCUAAGAGGAAAUCUUGCUUCUGACAACAUUAAGCCUAUUGGAGAAGGAGAGCAGGAUUAUCGCCUCUGUAGUGGAAGCACGAGUUGCUGCAUCCCAGCUGAUGUUGCUAUACCAGAAAACUUGCAGAGAGCAGAGCAAAUUGUGAGAGCAAAUUGUGAGAGCUUGCUGCUGCAGGACUCUUGGUGUGAGGCUCAUGUCCCGGAGCAAGCGGCACAUGGUGCCCAUUCCCCAGCUGAGGAGCUCCUCAUGAGCUGUGGCUCCUAGUUGGUGCCAGCCCAUGCCACUCCUGCCUGGCUUUCAACACGAGCAAAAAGCCACCACCGUGUCUAAACCGUGUCUAUCCCUGAUGGCCCUCGCUCCCUUAGCUUGCUGGUGCCACAGGGUGGCUCUGUGCAGCACCACGCUCCCGGCACCCUGAGAUGUUCAUGAAGUUCGCUCUGGUACGAGCCUGCCACUUCCUGCCACUAACCAAGGUCUGGGUGCGUGCAGCAUGUCAGCCUGCGGUACAUCGGUGAGCAAUUUCUUCUAGAGAAAGGGAUUUUGUUUUCCUUUAGCGUAUGGCACAUCAUUAUCAUCUGUGCCCUUACCCCCUCAGCCUCCUGUUCUUCCAUUGCUGCCCAAUUUCUGAGAAGCUUUGAGUAAAACUUUCAGUUGUGAAAGAAAGAGAAACCGCUUGUCUUUUUUACUUCUUCUCCAUUUCUCUGCAGUAAUACCUAGAGAGGAAUAAAGUGUGAGUGUGUCUAGGGGUUGUGCA
This is a long non-coding RNA of Chrysolophus pictus (golden pheasant), 1643 nucleotides long. NCBI's taxonomy places the organism in Eukaryota, Metazoa, Chordata, Aves, Galliformes, Phasianidae. The record is from Ensembl.